Molecule: long non-coding RNA, 2731 nt
Filed under: Homo sapiens (human)
Lineage: Eukaryota; Metazoa; Chordata; Mammalia; Primates; Hominidae
Description: HSALNT0143903
Source: RNAcentral
GAAAAAUGUUGAAAACUACAACUCUGCUCUAUACAGCUGGGUUCAGUCCAGUCUUUCAGCACUAGAACUUUACUGGAGCCCAUCAGCCAGAAUAAAUUGCUUCCGCAUGUGUGUUCCCCAAGCACAGCGAACAUUCCUAUCCUAUAACCCUAAUCAAAUUGCACUUUGGUUUCCUCCUCGAAUAGUGUCUAUGUAUAUGUGACUCCUUCCUCCUGUGCCUUUCAUCUCUGCUUCUCCUGGUCUAGCGCAGCAACGGGGAGAAAAUGAGCACUCAGUGAGUGAUUAUUGCCUUCGCCUUGAUGAAAUUAAAAACUCAUUUAAGAGCUGAUUUCUCCAAUUUUUGUAUCUACUGGAUUUCUCUCUAUUAUAGCCUAACCUGAGACAAUUUUACUUUUCCUUAGCAUCUACAGCAAUGACAGGCUAAAGAAGAAAAGAACAAGGAGGAGGAGAAGAAGAAGGAGAAGGAGGAGGAGAAGAAAGAAGAGGAGGUGGAGAGGAAGGUGGAGGAGAGGCAGGAGGAGGGGGAGGAGGAGGAAAAGAAGAAGAUGACAGAGGAAUGGAAAAAAGAAUAGCAUAUGCAAAAUUAUUAAUUUGGGUAAGACUUCAAAAAGAAGAUAAACUUAGUACUAUUUAUUUAAUAUAAGUUUUGAUAUUAAAAAUAUAAGAAUUUAUCCAUAGGCCCACAAAGUCCCAAGAGCUGAUAAUUAAUAGCUGGAGGAAUUUGGUUAUAUCCAGAGCAAGGACCCUUUGGGCUAUUAACCAAGGAAGAGAACAUCAGAAGAGAAAGAAAUGAGAACUUUCCACCCCCUCUUCCUGAACUAUCCUUUUGCUAGCACACAAAACCAGGCCAAGAAUUGCCUCCUGAGGCUAGAGAGGGUUUGAUUGUACUUUUUUGGCUGUUUAUGUGGUUUUACUGCUUUAUAUUUUCACAUGCCUUUGUGGAAGGGAAGAGGAAAUAUAGUCCUGAGAGUCUGUUCUCACGAAGAGGAAGCCACAGCAAAUCCUGAUAGAGGCAGAAACCCCUUGGGUCAUAUUUUCCCUUGCUCUGUUGUAGGAGGAAAAUACUUGAGUGACUGGGUUCAUCUUCUCACAUAAAUAAAGAGUUCUUUAUUUGGAAUCAGUGUUGACCAACUAGGGCAUUGGAAAGCACAGUAUAUUCUCACUUAAGGGCUAAUAUAAUCCAGUGGAGUGACAUGAAUUAGUUAGUGGUACACAAUUCUCAGAGAAAGUCACUUUAUGAGUUCUUCUAUUUAUAUUUUUCUAUUAUUAUUAUGAUUAUUACACGAUUGUCUUAUUCUAUAGUGUUACUUUUUAAGGGCCUCUUAUCCUACUCUCUAAGAUUAGACCUAUAAGCCUUGCCAGAACGUAGAGCUUAACAUGGAGACAGGAUACAGGGUACAUGGAGGCUGGCACUGUUGUAGAUCCCAUGACUUUUUGUAAACUAUGAUCAAAAACAGAGAAAUUGACACUGCAAAAUAUGAUCCUACACGUUUAAAUAAUUCACUUGGCCAGGCAUGGCGGCUUACACCUAUAAUCCCAGCACUUUGGGAGGCCUAGGUGGGCAGAUCACUUGAGGUCAGGAGUUCGAGACCAGCCUGGCCAACAUGCUGAAACCCCAUCUCUACUAAAAACACAAAAAAUUAGCUGAGUGUGGUGGUGGAUGCCUGUAAUCCCAGCUGCUUGGGAGGCUGAGGCAGGAGAAUCGCUUGAAUCCAGGAGGUGGAGGUUGCAGUGAGUCAAGAUCUCACCACUGAACUCUAGCCUGGGCAACAGAGCGAGGCUCCAUCUAAUUAAUAAAUAAAUAAAUAAAUAAAUAAAUAAAUAAAUAAAUAGUUUACUUAAAUAAAAUAUAAGAUAACAAAAUUAAGUGGAAAGUAUUUCUAUUCAAGUCUCAAACCCUAAGUUAUCUUAACCUAUUUGGUUAGACAAGAAAAAUAUACUGGUCGAAAUUAAGCCAUUUCUUUGAUAAGAAAAAUAUACUGGUCGAAAUUAAACCGAGAGAACCUUGGGAAUGUAAGUGUGCCACAGCACACCCCUUCUUCCCAUCUCCCACUGCGAUGAGUUACUACCUCCUAAUUCAGGGUGAGUCUUCUUCUUUCCAUCUUGACCAUUACUUUCUUAGUUCCGACUCUGUCACCUAAUUACAUCAGCUCUUGAAAAGCAGAGGAUGUUCUCUGAUUGGUGGUAGAAGUAGAAGUAAGAGAGAUUCAACCAUAAGAAAAAUUUUACAUGCCAUUGCUGAUGUUGAAGAUGGAAGGGCCAUGUGCAAGGACUGGAGCUGGGAGAGGCCCCCAGCUGACAACCAACAAGGAAGACCUCAGUCUUACAACCAUGAGGAACUGAAUUCUGCCAAUAACAGGAAUUGAAAGAAGAGCCCAAGGUCCAGAUGAUAAUGCAGCUAGCCACCACAUUGAUUUCAGCCUAUUGAGACCUUGAGAACCUAGUUAUACCACCUAGACUUCUGACCUCCAGAGCGGUGAGAUAAUAAAUGGGUAUUGUUUUAAGUUGCUAAGUUUGUGGUACUUUAUUAUAACUAAUACACUAGCACAUAGAACUCUGUGCACGGUAGUCAUUCCUCUUUUAGGAACAAGAAAAUUUCAGCUAAUUGAAGAUUUACUAUCUAACCAAAAUAUACAACUACUGGAUAACUAAGAAAAUGCUAGAUGGGCUGGAUGCAGUGGCUCACGCCUGUAAUCUUAGCACUUUUGGAGGCUGAGGCGGGCAGAUUGAC